This 396-nucleotide ribosomal RNA is filed under the name uncultured Neocallimastigomycetes. Its description in RNAcentral is "eukaryotic LSU rRNA". It matches the Rfam family "Eukaryotic large subunit ribosomal RNA", at positions 127 to 520 of the family's 3401-position model. Lineage: Eukaryota; Fungi; Neocallimastigomycota; Neocallimastigomycetes. The record is from RNAcentral.
GUUUUACCUUGACGAAUUGUAGUUUAAAGAAGUGUUUUCUGUUGAAGUUUUGGUAAAAGUUCUUUGGAAUAGGACAUCAUAGAGGGUGAGAAUCCCGUAUUUGACCAUUAUUUUCAGCUGUGUGAUACACUUUCAAAGAGUCGGAUUGUUUGGGAAUGCAGUCCAAAAUGGGUGGUAAAUUUCAUCUAAAGCUAAAUAUUGGCGAGAGACCGAUAGCGAACAAGUACCGUGAGGGAAAGAUGAAAAGAACUUUGAAAAGAGAGUUAAACAGUACGUGAAAUUGUCAAAAGGGAAGCGUUUGACACCAGUGUUGUUUUCUCGAAAAUCAAUUAAAAAAGUUGGAUUUUGUGUUGUAUUGACCUUAACGGCUUUCUGCACUCUUUUCCUGCUUUUUUU